UUUUUUUAUGUCAUUGUUGUUGUCUUUGAAUGAUAUCUCAAUCAGACUUAGUGUCGAUGCAAAGGUGUGCAUAUUUAUUAGCCUAUUCAUCCAUUUCUCCUAUUUGUUCAUGGCGUAAAACAUAGUCCUGUGAUCUGAAGUCAUACAAUUACUUUUUUGUUCUAUUGUUGUUUUUCUGUGCAAAUCAUCUAUCUUGCUUAUUGACUUCUUUUUAUUUUGUUCAGGAAAGGUCAUACCGGUUUUGAGCUCUCUCAUGUGAAAUGAUUUAUUUGGAUCAAGAUGGUUUUAGACUUUUAGGAGGAAUUCAUAUGUAGGUUUAUGUUCCCUUGUGGAUGAAAAGGUACAUUUAUAUACUAUAUGAUUUUAGUGAGCUUGAUGCUUUGUUUGGGAGUUGAUUGGUUCAAUCUUUUCCUUUCAUGCAUGUGAUUCCUAUAUUAUAGGCUCGGGUGCUCUGUUUUUUAGAUGCUCAGAUGAAGAGGUUUCCUCUCCUGGUAUUGUCUGGAUAGAGAAAGAGAUCUCUGUUUGCAUUAGUAUUGGUGGUGUCCCUGUCCCAGUUCUAUUAUCAGGAGUCAUUGAGCAGGAUGAUUCACAAGAACUUAUGCUUUGAGUUGUCUUUAACAAGAUACCAAGGAGAGAAAAGGCUGAAGCUAUAUGUUCGUGUUUGAGUUAUUUGCAAUAUAUGUACACAAAAUUUUCCGUCAGGAACAGACAUUUUCUUAAUGAGAUCACUGAGUUACCCCUUUAUCAUGUUUUGCAUUAUCUACAGACAGAAUAUUCUUACAUGGGGUCUGGCAUCAUCUACUAGCCUUAGUUUAGUACCAUUGAACAACUUUCCAUUCAUUUCUAAUUUAUCUUUGCUACGAAGUUGCAGGGUGAUGGAAUACACUGUCUUGUGCCCAAAGGCUUGCUUUCCAAAUUUCAGCAGCUGAUGUCUGAAGGUCGUGUAUGUUAUCUACAGUUCUUUCAUAUUAGCCCCGCCAAAAGGCAGGUCUGGUUCAUGUACCUUAGAUUUGAAUUGUAGUUUCCUUCUGUCAAACUUGUAGAUGCCGUGCCUGAAGGUUUUCUGCUGUAAUUUACAGGCUUGAGAAGUUGAGAUAUUUCAGGUCAAGAUUCAACUGGUCGAUUUGGGUGCAGAACUUUUGAGGUUGAUCAUUCUGUUGAAUGCAUUGCUGAAUGAGGACGUCGAUUUAAGACAGACAAGGAAUCUACUAUGCACCGAACAGCUCUGACUCGGCACAACAGAUACCGCCUCCAACAAGCAAGAACGAAGCCAACGGAAGGAAACACCACCAAACUCAACAUAAUUAAGACACAACGCAAUGGAACAUAAUUAAGACACAACGCAAUGGAAUUGAAACCACGGUGACGCAAAUGACCAUAAUAAUCCACGAAGAAAGAAAAGGGAAGUUGAACCCAGAAUCAAAAAACGGCGCGGCAAAGCGCGCGUCACCUUCUAGUCCACGUACAUGAUAGGUAACAAGGCAAGUCAGUUUGUAAAGGAAAGUGAUCAAAAGAGACAGGAAAAUAAAGAUUGUUAUUUUUUUAGUCGGUCACGACCACCAGAAGUUGCCGAUGGUUUGCCUAACGAGCAUCGCUCGUGGAGAUUAUUCUCCCUGAAGGACACGGGCUGGGGCCCACCAACAUGCAUGGCAAUUAGAGAUAACGUGCAUGACACAAAUAUUAGAUACAUCAGCUUAGAUUUUUCUGGUUCUAGUUGGUUGGGUACUUUUCUUUCGGGUCAAGUUAGAGGUGCGGCUACUACUAUAAAGCCAAGCCUGCGUGCUUUGUAAUUUUUAGGUUAUAUUUUCUACAGGUUAGACAACAUGUGUAUCAAAUAUUAAGUAGCCCUCUUUGGGUGUCGUUGUUAAUUAUUUUGUGUGAUUUUUCUGCAUGAAAGUUGCACUUGGCUCGAGGUCUGUCGUUCUCGACGGGUUGCGUGCUGGUUACGUCUACUUCAGCGGGAGGUUGCUCGUGUGUCGAGGGAUUGUCUGUUGAUCGUCGUUACCCCUACUUCAGGUUACGCGUACUGCUCGUGUAAUUGGGAGUAAUUUUUUAAUCCGUGGAUCUUGAAGGUUAUUGCAUCGUAAAAGAUCGGGCCAUAUCAGAGGCACGUCCGAGGUCGUGCCCCAUCAUGUAGGCUCGGGAUUAUUAACGAGGUGAAUGCGUCACUGGCAGAGCGCUAUAUUGUCCCUAGAGAAUGCGCCAUUGACAGAGCGCACUUGAGGCGAGGUAUAGUUUUCGGAACUUAAAUCAGGUGAAUGCAUCCUUGGCGGAGCGCUCUAUUGUUUCUAGAGAAUGCGCCACUGACAAAGCGCACUUGAGAUACUUCUGAAGUUCUUGUCAUGUGUACUUAGAAUUUUUGGGGUUAUCUUGCGCGAAUAAAUUAGAUGCGGUUGUGAGUUUAUUUAGUGGAGGUAGGUGAAGACAUUCUUCUCCAAACUAACUUGAGUGUUUUGUUUGUCAUACUUUGCUUGUGGAUGUAGGUUUGCUAUAUCAUAUUGUGUUAUUUGCCAAUACAUUCAAUGUAUUGACCCUUUGUGGCUGCAACUCAUCAUGUUGCAGGAUAUUCAAGUGAUCCGUGAGAUACAGUAGGGUCGAGAGUCUUCACUCAGCAUUUUUGCCAUGGGCAUUGAUGGGACUCAUCGUUUGUUUAUGCUACAUUUUCGCUGUUAUUAUUGAAUGAAGUUAGCUAUGUGCUACUUAGUUUGUAAUACUUUAUGAAUUCUGGAUCAUACGUUAUAGUAAAUGAUGCACUUGUUAUUUGAUAUUCAUAUGUACUGUGUAUGCUAGCGAGUCGAUCUGGGGACUAGCACAGUGAGCACAGAGCCAUCGAAUCUUAUCAGGUUCGGGUCGUUACACCCCUAUCGCCCACACUCACUUGGCGAUGGUUCCAAAUAACGUCACGGAAAGGGGUUAAAAACUGUUUAUAUAGCACCUACGCGUACUAGUGAAGGUGUCAAGCCGGUGACGAGAUGGUGCUUUGGAGAUGGAGAUCAAAAGCACAAUAUGAUGGCCAUAUCAUGUCACAUAUUUGUUGGGGAACGUAGCAGAAAUUCAAAAUUUUCCUACGUGUCACCAAGAUCUAUCUAUGGAGAGACCAGCAACGAGUAGAAGGAGAGUGCAUCUACAUACCCUUGUAGAUCGCUAAGCGGAAGCGUUCAAGUGAACGGGGUUGAUGGAGUCGUACUCGUCGUGAUUCAAAUCACCGAUGAUCAAGUGCCGAACGCACGGCACCUCCGCGUUCAACACACGUACAGCCCGAUGACGUCUCCCACGCCUUGAUCCAGCAAGGAGAGAGGGAGAGGUUGAGGAAGACUCCAUCCAACAGCAGCACAACGGCGUGGUGGUGGUGGUGGAGGAGCGUGGCAAUCCAGCAGGGCUUCGCCAAGCACCAUGGGAGAGGAGGAGUAGGGAGAGAGGCAGGGCUGCACCAAGAGGAAGAGAACUCAUGUGUAUGGCAGCCCCAAACCUCAACUAUAUAUAGGGGGAAGGGGGGGCUGCGCCCCCUUUAGGGUUUCCCACCCCCAAGGGGUGCGGCCAGCCCUAGAUGGCAAAGGGGGUGGCGGCCAAGAGGGGAGAGGAGAGGGAGGCGCACCAAUAUGGGCCUUAAGGCCCAUCUGGACUAGGGUUUGCCCCCUCCCACUCUCCCUUGCGCCUUGCACCCUUGUGGGGGGCGCACCAGCCCUCCUAGGGGCUGGUCCCCUCCCACACUUGGCCCACGCAACCUGCUGGGGCAGGUGGCCCCACUUGGUGGACCCCCGAGACCCUCCCGGUGGUCCCGGUACAAUACCGAUAUCGCCCGAAACUUUUCCGGUGACCAAAACAGGACUUCCCAUAUAUAAAUCUUUACCUCCGGACCAUUCCGGAACUCCUCGUGACGUCCGGGAUCUCAUCCGGGACUCCGAACAACAUUCGGUAACCACAUACAAACUUCCUUUAUAACCCUAGCGUCAUCGAACCUUAAGUGUGUAGACCCUACGGGUUCGGGAGACAUGCAGACAUGACCGAGACGUUCUCCGGUCAAUAACCAACAGCGGGAUCUGGAUACCCAUGUUGGCUCCCACAUGUUUCACGAUGAUCUCAUCGGAUGAACCACGAUGUCAAGGACUUAAUCAAUCCCGUAUUCAAUUCCCUUUGUCUAUCGGUAUUGUACUUGCCCGAGAUUCGAUCGUCGGUAUCCUUAUACCUUGUUCAAUCUCGUUACCGGCAAGUCUCUUUACUCGUUCCGUAACACAUCAUCCCGUGAUCAACUCCUUGGUCACAUUGCGCAUAUGAUGAUGUCCUACCGAGUGGGCCCAGAGAUACCUCUCCGUUUACACGGAGUGACAAAUCCCAGUCUCGAUCCGCAUAAAACAAUAGAUACUUUCGGAGAUACCUGUAGUGCACCUUUAUAGUCACCUAGUUACGUUGUGACGUUUGAUACACCCAAAGCACUCCUACGGUAUCCAGGAGUUACACGCUCUCAUGGUCAAAGGAAGAGAUACUUGACAUUGGCAAAGCUCUAGCAAACGAACUACACGAUCUUUGUGCUAUGCUUAGGAUUGGGUCUUGUCCAUCACAUCAUUCUCCUAAUGAUGUGAUCCCGUUAUCAACGACAUCCAAUGUCCAUAGCCAGGAAACCAUGACUAUCUGUUGAUCACAACGAGCUAGUCAACUAGAGGCUCACUAGGGACAUAUUGUGGUCUAUGUAUUCACACGUGUAUUACGAUUUCCGGAUAAUACAGUUAUAGCAUGAAUAAAAGACAAUUAUCAUGAACAAGGAAAUAUAAUAAUAACACUUUUAUUAUUGCCUCUAGGGCAUAUUUCCAACAAUAUUUUGAUUGCAUGUAAUGUUUAUCUUUUAUGCAUCUUAUUUUGCGUAGAACGGUGGUAGCAUUAUAAGAUGAUCACUUCGCUUAAUUUCAAGAUAAAAGUGUUCUCCCUGAGUAUGCACCAUUGCUACAGUUCAUCGCUUCGAGACACCACAUGAUGAUCGGGUGUGAUAGACUCUACGUUCACAUACAACGGGUGUAAGACAGUUUUGCACAUGCAGAAUACUUGGGUUAAACUUGACGAGCCUAGCAUGUACAGACAUGGUCUCGGAACACUGGAGUGUGAGUCAUAUAGUAGAUAUGAUCAACAUAGAGAUGUUCAUCAUUGAUGACAACCCCAUCUCACGUGAUGAUCAGACAUGGGUUAGUUGAUUUGGAUCAUGUAUCACUUAGAUGACUAGAGGGAUGUCUAUUUAAGUGGGAGUUCUUAAGUAAUUUGAUUAAUUGAACUUAAUUUAUCAUGAACUUAGUCUUGAUAGUUUUGCAUAUCUAUGUUGUAGAUCAAUAGCUCGCGAUAUAGCUCCUAUAUUUUUUUGAUAUGUUCCUAGAGAAAACUAAGUUGAAAUAUGAUAGUAGCAAUGAUGCGGACUGGGUCCGUGAUCUGAGGAUUAUCCUAAUUGAUGCACAGAAGAAUUAUUUGCUUGAUGCACGCUAGGUGACAAACCUGUUGCAGGAGCAGAUGCAGACGUUAUGAACAUUUUGCAAGCUCGGUAUGAUGACUACUUAAUAGUUUAGUGCAUCAUGCUUUACGGCUUAGAACCGGGGCUUCAAAACCGUUUUUGAAUGCCACGGAGCAUAUGAGAUGUUCCAAGAGCUAAAAAUUGGUAUUUCAGAUUCAUGCCCGUGUCGAGAGGUAUGAGACCUCUGACAAGUACUUUGCCUACAAGAUAGAGGAGAAUAGCUCAGCCGGUGAGCAUGUACUCAGAAUAUCUUGAUACUACAAUCGCUUGAAUCAAGUGGGAGUUAAUCUUCCAGAUAAGAUAUUGAUUGACAAGGUUCUCUAGUCACUAUCACCAAGCUACUAGAACUUCGUGAUGAACUAUAAUAUGCAAGGGAUGACAAAACGAUUCCCAAGCUCUUCGCGAUGCUAAAAUCGGCGAAGGUAGAAAUCAAGAAAGAGCAUCAAGUGUUGAUGGUUAACAAGACCACUAGUUUCAAGAAAAAGGGCGAGGGAAAGAAAGGGAACUUCAAGAAGAAUGGAAAGCAAGUUGCCACUCCCGGGAAGAAGCCCAAAGCUGGACCCAAGCCUGGAACUGAGUGCUUCUAUUGCAAAGGGACUGGUCACUGGACAUGGAACUGCCUGAAAUACUUGGCGGAUAAGAAGGUAUAUUUGAUAUACAUGUUAUUGAUGUGUACCUUACUAAUGCUUGUAGUAGCGCCUGAGUAUUUGAUACUGGUUCGGUUGCUCAUAUUUGUAACUCGAAACAGGAGCUACGGAUUAAACAAAGAUUGGCUAAGGACGAGGUGAUGAUGCACGUUGGGAAUGGUUCGAAGGUUGAUGUGAUCGUCGUCGGCACGCUACCUCUACAUCCACCUUCAGGAUUUGUUUUAGACCUGAAUAAUUAUUAUUUGGUGCCAACGUUGAGCAUGAACAUUAUAUCUGGAUCUUGUUUAGUGCGAGACAGUUAUUCAUUUAAAUCAGAGAAUAAUGGUUGUUCUAUUUAUAUGAGUAAUAUCUUUUAUGGUCAUGCACCCUUGAAGAAUGGUCUAUUCUUGUUGAAUCUCGAUUGUAGUAGUACACAUAUUCAUAAUAUUGAUGCCAAAAUAUGCAAAGUUGAUAAUGAUAGUGCAACAUAUUUGUGGCACUGCCGUUUAGGUCACAUUGGUGUAAUGUGCGUGAAGAAACUCCAUGCGGAUGGAAUUUUGGAAUCACUUGAUUACGAAUCAUUUGAUACUUGCGAACCAUGCCUCAUGGGCAAGAUGACUAAAACUUCGUACUCUAAAACAAUGGAGCGAGCCAAUGACUUAUUAUAAAUAAUACAUACCGAUGUAUGCGGUCCGUUGAGUAUUGAGGCACGUGGCGGAUAUCGUUAUUUUCUGACCUUCACAGAUGAUUUGAGUAGAUAUGGGUAUAUUUACUUAAUGAAACACGAGUCUGGAACAUUUGAAAAGUUCAACGAAUAUCAGAGUGAAGUGGAGAAUCAUCGUAACAAGAAAAUAAAUUUCUACAAUCUGAUCGAGGAGGUGAAUAUUUGAGUUACGAGUUUGGCCUUCAUUUGAAACAAUGUGGAAUUGUUUCACAACUCACGCCACCUGGAACACCACAUCGUAAUGGUGUGUCCGAAAUUGUAGCCGUACUUUAUUGGAUAUGGUGCAUUCUAUGAUGUCUCUUACCGAGUUACCACUAUUGUUUGGGGUUAGGCGUUAGAGACAGCCGCAUUCACGUUAAAUAGGGCUGCGUCUAAAUCCAUUGAGACGACACCUUAUGAAUUGUGGUUUGGCAAGAAACCUAAGUUGUCAUUUCUUAAAGUUUGGAGUUGCGACACUUAUGUCAAAAGGCUUCAGCCUGAUAAGCUCGAACCCAAAUCGGAGAAGUGCGUCUUCAUAAGAUACCCUAAGGAAACAAUUGGGUACACCUUCUACCACAGAUCCGAAGGCAAGAUCUUUGUUGCCAAUAAUGGAACGUUUCUAGAGAAGAAGUUUCUCUCGAAAGAAGUGAGUGGGAGGAAUGUAGAACUUGAUGAGGUAAUUGUACCUUCUCUCAAUUUGGAAAGUAGCACAUCAGAGAAAUCUUUUCCCGUGAUGCCUACACCAACUAGAGAGGAAGCUAAUGAUGAUGAUCAUGAAACUUCAUAUCAAGUUACUACUGGACCUCGUAGGUCGAACAGAGCAUGUUCCGCACCAGAGUGGUAUGGCUCCUGUCCUGGAAGUCAUGUUACUAGACCAUGGCGAACCUACGAACUAUGAAGAAGUUAUGAUGAGCCCAGAUUCCGAUAGAUGGCUUGAGGCCAUGAAAUCUAAGAUAGCAUCCAUGUAUGAGAACAAAGUGUGGACUUUGGUGCACUUGCCCGAUGAUCGGCAAGCCAUUGAGAAUAAAUGGAUCUUCAAGAAGAAGACAGAUGUUGAUGGUAAUGUCACCAUCUACAAAGCUCGACUUGUCGUGAAAGGUUUUCGACAAGUUCAAGGGGUUGACUAUGAUGAGACCUUCUCACCCGUAGCGAUUCUUAAAUAAGUCCAAAUCAUGUUAGCAAUUGCCGCAUUUUAUAAUUAUGAAAUUUGGCAAAUGUAUGUCAAAACUGCAUUCCUUAAUGGAUUUCUUAAAGAAGAGUUGUAUAUGAUGGAACCAGAAGGUUUUGUCGAUCCUAAAGGUGCUAACAAAGUGUGCAAGCUCCAACGAUCCAUCUAUGGACUGGUGCAAGCAUCUCAGAGUUAGAAUAUAUGCUUUGAUGAGGUGAUAAAAACAUAUGUUUUUAUACAGACUUAUGAUGAAGCUUGUAUUUACAAGGAAGUGAGUGGGAGCUAUGUAGCAUUUCUAAUAUUAUAUGUGGAUGACAUAUUAUUGAUUGGAAAUGAUAUAGAAUUUCUGGAUAGCAUAAAAGGAUACUUGAAUAAGAAUUUUUCAAUGAAAGACCUCGGUGAAGCUACUUAUAUAUUGGGCAUCAAGAUCUAUAGGGAUAGAUCGAGACGCUUAAUAGACUUUCACAAAGCACAUACCUUGAUAAAGUUUUGAAGAAGUUCAAAAAUGGAUUAGUCAAAGAAAGGGUUCUUGCCUGUGUUACAAGGUGUGAAGUUGAGUAAGACUCAAAGCCCAAUCACGGCAGAAGAUAGAGAGAGAAUGGAAGUCAUUCCCUAUGCCUCAUCCAUAGGUUCUAAAGUAUGCCAUGCUAUAUACCAGACCUAUUGUGUGCCUUUCCAUGAGUUUGGCAAGGGGGUACAAUAGUAAUCUAGGAAUGGACCACUGGACAACGGUCAAAAUUAUCCUUAGGUACCUGAAAAGGACUAAGGAAAUGUUUCUUGAUUAUGUAGGUGAUAAAGAGUUCAUCGUAAAGGGUUACAUCGAUGCAAGCUUUAACACCAAAUCAGAUGACUCUAAGUCUCAAUCUAGAUAUGUAUUGAACAUGGGAACAAUUAGCUAGAGUAGCUCCAUGCAGAGCAUUAUUGACAUAGAAAUUUGCAAAAUACAUACGAAUCUGAAUGUGACAGGCCCGUUGACUAAACCUCUCUCACAGGCAAAACAUGAUCACACCUUAGUACUUUUUGAGUGUUAAUCACAUGGCGAUGUGAACUAGAUUAUUGACCCUAGUAAACUCUUUGGGUGUUAGUCACAUGGUGAUGUGAACUAUGGGUAUUAAUCACAUGGCAAUGUGAACUAGAUUAUUGACUCUAGUGCAAGUGGAAGACUGAAGGAAAUAUGCCCUAGAGGCAAUAAUAAAGUUAUUAUUUUAUAUUUCCUUAUUCAUGAUAAAGAUUUAUUAUUCAUGCUAGAAUUGUAUUGAUCAGAAACUUAAAUACAUGUGUGAAUACAUAAACAAAUACUGUGUCCCUAGUAAGCCUCUACUAGACUAGCUCGUUGGUCAAAUAUGGUUAAGGUUUCCUAACCAUAGACAUGUGUUGUCAUUUAACGAGAUCACAUCAUUAGGAGAAUAAUGUGAUGGACAAGACCCAUCCGUUAGCUUAGCAUAUUGAUCAUUUAGUUUAUUACUAUUGCUUUCUUCAUGUCAAAUACAUAUUCCUUCGACUAUGAGAUUAUGCAACUCCCGGAUACCGGAGGAAUACCUUGUGUGCUAUCAAACGUCACAACGUAACUGGGUGAUCAUAAAGAUGCUCCGCAGGUAUCUCUGAAGGUGUUUGUUGAGUUGACAUAGAUUGAGAUUAGGAUUUGUCACUCCGAGUAUCGGAGAGGUAUCUUUGGGCCCUCUCGGUAAUGCACAUCAUAAGCUUGCAAGCAAAUGACUAAGGAGUUAGUCACGAGGUGAUGUAUUACGGAACGAGUAAAGAGACUUGCUGGUAAGGAGAUUGAACUAGGUAUGAAGAUACCGACGAUCGAAUCUCGGGCAAGUAACACACCGAUGGACAAAGGGAAUUACGUAUGUUAUCAUAACGGUUCAACCGAUAAAGAUCUUCGUGGAAUAUGUAGGAGCCAAUAUGGGCAUCCAGGUUCCGCUAUUGGUUAUUAACCAGAGAGGUGUCUCGGCCAUGUCUACAUAGUUCUUGAACCUUAGGGUCCGCGCGCUUUACGUUCGUUGACGAUAUUGUGUUAUGUGAGUUAUAUAAUUUGGUGCCCGAACAUUGUUCGGAGUCCCCGAUGAGAUCACGGACAUGACAAGGAGUCUCUACAUGGUCGAGAGGUAAAUAUUGUUAUAUAGGACGAGGGUAUUCGGACGCCGGCAGUGUUUCGGAGGGUGCCGAGUACUUAUCGGGUCACCGGAAGGUGUUCGGGGCACCCCCCCCCCCCGACAAAGCUAUGGGCCUUACGGGCCAUGUGAGGAAACACAUCAGUCGACAAGGGGCUGGUGCACCCCCCAUAGCCGGUCGGCCCUAGGGGAGAAGGAAAGUGGAGACUAGGUCUCCCCUUUCCUUCCCCCUCAUCCUCCUUCCUUUCCCCUUCGAGGAAAUAUGGCAAGGCGGCACAGGGCAAGGCAGGGGCCCUAGGGGUCGGCGGCCAGCCCUAGGGCGCACCUGGCUACCUCCUAUCCCCUCACCUAUAUAUACAUGGGGAGGGGGCGCCACAUAAGGACACACAACGUUGUCUUAGCCGUGUGCGGCGCCCCCGUCCACCGUUUACUCCCUCGGUCAUAUUUUCGUAGUGCUUAGGCGAAGCUCUGCGGAGAUCACAUCACCAUCACCGUCACCACGCCGUUGUGCUGCCGUAACUCAUCUACUACUUCACCAUCUUGUUGGAUCAAGAAGGCGAAGGACGUCACCGAGCUGAACGUGUGCAGAACGCGGAGGUGCCGUGCGUUCGGUACUAGAUCGGUCGGAGCGCGAAGAAAGUUUGACUACAUCAACCGCGUUGUGAAACGCUUCCGCUUACGGUCUACGAGGGUACAUAGACACACUCUCCCCUUCUUGUUGCUAUGCAUCUCCAUGGAUAGAUCUUCCGUGUGCGUAGAAUUUUUUUGUUUUCCAUGCAACUUUUCCCAACAGGAGGUCGGGGAAGAGCCGUGUGUAGGCUUGAUCUCGGGCACUGUCGUUCAUGUCUAGCCAGGAAUCAUAGCCAUCAGGCCCAGCGGCACGUCCUCUUGAUUCGUAAAUGGACCGAGGAGGCACUUGGUUUGUCUCAAUGUGACGUAGAGCGUCAUGAUGGUCUAGGUAGUCGACGUGGUCCUUGCCAUGAUGGCAUGGUGUCGUUUGAGUGCGGAAAUCUUCCUGUGUUGGCCUGUCCCGCCCUCUAGGGGGUCGGUCAGGUUGGUCUGGCCGUCCGCGUGUUAAAAGUGCAUCGUCCGAUAGUUCUUCGUCGAACUCGGGCAACAAACAUCUACACGGGUAAGACUUAGGCGCACUACGACGUCGUUCCUUGAGAUCUUGCUCGGCUGAGAGUAUUUCGACCCAUUUGUCGUUCAAAGCAUCCUCGUUGGCCUGCAACUGCUGCUGCUUCCGAUUCAUACUGUGAGCAGUGGCGACGAGACGCCGUCUGAAGCGCUCUUGCACAAUGGGGUCUCGGGACUAUAUAGUCCUCGGUGCCGAGGCUCUCGUCCUCCUUGGAUGCCGGCAUGUAAUUUUCACCGGCCCCUUCAAAGAGGUCAUCAGGGUCCUCCUCCCCGGGGAUUCAUCCGGGGCUGACACGCCGCUCUUGGGAGGCUUGAAGGUCCUUCUCAGGAUUGCCGGCGUCAUCGGCUAUUGCCGCGCCAUUAUUAGCGGUGGCGUUAUUCCCGGCGGUGUCCCCUGUGUUGCCCCUUCUGCGUCUACGCCGACGUCUUGGAGGGGAGUUGGGAGUAUUGACCAUGUAGACAUCAUAAGUAGAUGUUGCGGUCCACUUGCCGGUGUUAGUUUGCGGCGAGGUGGUCUCUGCAAGGCCGUCGACAUCUUCAUCCAUGUCUGUGGCCUCGUCAUAGUCUAGCACGUCGAUUAAAUCAUCGAUCGUGGCAACUAGAUGGGUGGUGGGUGGGACGUAAAUUUCUCGGUCGUCGGCUUUAAGUCCGAUUCUGUCAUAAACCGAGGUUCUGCCAUCCGAGAUCGACAAGUUCUGGAUUCGGUAAAGCAUCUCAUUAAGGUGGGAUAACUCCUUGGGAUUCGUGGCCUGGUCAUAGGCUGGGUUAACUCGAAGUAGCAUUGUGGUACGGUCAAUGCGUCUUCGGCCGCGCCAGGAGCCAGAGUGGAUUCUAGAUCCAUGAUCGGGAUCGGUUCUAAGCCCGAUACCGGAUUCGAAGCCGAGCUUUGAUUUAAGUCGGAGUUUGGUGUUGUGAUGGAGCCUUCAGAGGUGGGGGGGGGCAGCCCCUUCGUGCCUCCUGGUGUUGGAGGGCCUGAUGCGUCGUCCUUAAGGGAAGUCCGUUCCGAGUCGAGCUUGUGAUGCUCGUCAAGCCCUGAAUCCGGCCAGGCGUCCAGCCCGACAGGACAAGCUCACUGCAUGGAUCCGCGUUGUACUCUAGCCCUCCAAAGGUUACAACCUGAUCGGGGGCGUAGUUCUCAACGGUGGCCAGAUAGCCCGUCAAGUCGGCGCAGAAAAUCUUGACGUCAACACACAAAAAGUUGGCUGGUGCCGCACUUGACCUGCAGAUGAGCCAUCGGUCCUUUGCCGAUCUUACACGGAACUCUCAAUGAAAGUACCAGUGUCGGUGUGAAAUCCGGCAUACCUCGGGGUAGGGGGUCCCGAUCUGUGGAUCUCGAAUCAAGGGUAACAGGAACAGGGAGACGAUAUUUACCCAAGUUCGGGCCCUCUUGAUGGAGGUAAAACCCUACGUCCUGCUCUUGUUUAUAUUGAUGCAGAUGUAUCGAAUACAGAGUUGAUCUACCUCGAGAUCAUAAGAUGUGUUCUAACUCUAAAGCUAGGUGAAUGAGAUUACGUUUUUGUUGUUCCCUCUACAGGCUAACCCUUUGGCUUAUAUACACGCCAGGUAGGGCAUCUAGGGUUACAAAGUCGGAAUCUUGGCAUGGGGGCAGCUGAAGUCUUGAAGUGUACGUCAAGCCUUCGACAGAUGCAGUCUUGAUCACGCCCCAUCGCACGGCUUCCGGAGUCCACUUCAAGAUGAAUGAGGGUCCACCAGCCCAUUCUGAGGAGCAUGGGCUGACUAGGUUAGCACCCCCUAGUCCAGGACACACGUCAGUAAUGGACCCAAAACGCCGCACAGCUGCCAUCCUCUUCCAUACAGGUGUGCCCAACAACGCUUGGCAAAGCCAUCGACGCACCAGGGACGAGCAUUCCCUAGGAGCUUACAGAGUUUAAAAAAGGAUACACGGGCCACUGGUAGCCGAGGGAACAACGUGAAGCAUAACGAUUUGGCUUGGAAGUAAUGAAGACAAUGACGCAUUGACAACCGACUAGCAUAAAAUUUGGAGCUUGACAUUAACACCCAAACCAUCAGGACUGCUGUUCCUUUUCCGUAUGGACCUUUUUUCUACAGGUCUAGUGUUGUUCUGUUUGGCGAAUCUUGAUUCUGGUAAAACAAUAAAACUACACCAUAUGUUGUUGAACGCUAUUGUUUCCUUCAUACAACAUCAUCAUGAUUCCCGAUUCAGCGAGACCAAUGGUGAUUCGCUUCUUCUUGACUUCAGAAAGGGAAAUGAUCACAAUGAUUUGCUGCAUCAAGUCCGGUACCUGAAAUAUAUUUGGAAAGAUCUUACACUGAGUUUAUCAUAUAUUUGAAAAUAUAUUUGGAAAGAACUUACAGUGAGUUUAUCAUAUACUCCCUCCGUCCCAUAAUAUAAGACGUUUAUGAGGGAGUAGUAGCAUACAAUAAACCUGAUCGUUGGGCUAAGAUAAACAAAUAUCAGACUAUACAUUCUCCACUGAGGAUCUGAACAACAAUGCCUUUUAGCGAGUUGGGAGUUGACUAAUAGAGUUGAAAGGCGUAUGAUCUUGAAACCAACUCAUAGUUUUGGCCCGUAGAUAGCUAACUUCCACACACCUUUGUCAUGACUAGUUCUUUGAUAAUAACCUAGUCCUUCAUAUCUCUCUUAACGGACUCCUUUCAUAUCAGGUUUGGUUUACACAAUUUUUCUUGACAUUAUGGCGAGAGGUCUUUGUUGUAUAUGCCCAAGCCAUUUCAGGGGAGGCACUGGCAUGAAACGAAAUUGAAUUUUGGUAUCGCUUGUCAUUCUUCUUAAGAGGUGCUCAGGGACUCUCCCAUAGCUUCAUUGUAGGGCUCAUCAGCUUAACUCCACGGUAAUUAGUACAACUUUCAACAUCCCCUUGCUCUUGAAGAGUGGUACUAAUAUACUCCGCCUCCGUACUCUGAGCAUCUUGUUUGCCUAAAAUAUGAGGUUGAAAAGUUUAAUUAGUCACAUUAUCGCCUAUGUCUCGGGGGCCUUUCCACACUCAACGGGGAUACAAUCAAGACCCAUAGCCUUGCCUCCUUUCAGCCUUUCUUUAAGUCACCCUGACCCCAGACUCCGGAAUUCAUCGCACAAAACGCCUAUUGGUAUCAUCAAAAGAGUGGUCCAGCUCAAAAGUAGAGCUCUCUCUCUCUUCAUUGACUUUGUUUUUGCUGCAUUUGACUUGGUUGAUAUCCCUCAUCUUCUCUCUCGACUCUUGGCCAUAGAUGUCCCUUUCGCCUUCCUUUGUGUUUAAACACAAGUAGAGAUCCUCAUACGCCCAAUAACUUGCUUCACUCACGGCUCAUUUUGCAAUCUUCUUUACCAUCUUGCACUUCUCUAUAUUAUUUGCACUAAUAUCCAGAUGUGACCGUCUGAAACAGUCUUUCAUCUCACUUCUCUAUAUUAUUUGCACUAAUAUCCAGAUGUGACCGUCUGAAACAGUCUUUCAUCUCCUUAAUAGCCUUUUGAAUAUCAUCGUUCCACCACCAAGUAUCACUUCCCCUGGUCAACCCAAACUCCUUAAAGCCACCUUACGAACGCAAAACGCCAUCUUCAUCCACAUGUUUGCAUCACCUCGUUCCUCCCAAGGGCCCUCCUUAAUAACCCUUUCCUUGAAAGUCUGAGCUGCCUCUCCGUCGAUCGUGCAUGAUGUACAGAAACAUGGCAUUUUGGUGAUCAUAGCGAAAAAACACACUUCGGCAUAAACAACACUCUUCCACCUUGCGCAAAGACAUUACAAUACCAGUUUGCAUACAUCCCCGACAGUUUGGCAUAAAGUGAAUAAGAAAGCACAACACUCUUUCACCAUGCGCAAAGACAUCAAAAUACCAGUUUGCAUACAUCCCCAACAGUUUUACCCUUUUUCCCGUUUCAUAUUGGUACGUGACUUUUAACGAUGUUUCAUGAACAAGAAUAGGAGCAUGUAUUAUGUAAUUACGUACUUCACAUACAGAG
Molecule: long non-coding RNA, 15179 nt
Filed under: Triticum aestivum (bread wheat)
Lineage: Eukaryota; Viridiplantae; Streptophyta; Magnoliopsida; Poales; Poaceae
Description: long non-coding RNA (TAES_LNC016181)
Source: RNAcentral